Molecule: ribosomal RNA, 465 nt
Filed under: uncultured Klebsiella sp.
Lineage: Bacteria; Pseudomonadati; Pseudomonadota; Gammaproteobacteria; Enterobacterales; Enterobacteriaceae
Description: bacterial SSU rRNA
Rfam family: Bacterial small subunit ribosomal RNA
Source: RNAcentral
CCUACGGGUGGCUGCAGUGGGGAAUAUUGCACAAUGGGCGCAAGCCUGAUGCAGCCAUGCCGCGUGUGUGAAGAAGGCCUUCGGGUUGUAAAGCACUUUCAGCGGGGAGGAAGGCGGUGAGGUUAAUAACCUCAUCGAUUGACGUUACCCGCAGAAGAAGCACCGGCUAACUCCGUGCCAGCAGCCGCGGUAAUACGGAGGGUGCAAGCGUUAAUCGGAAUUACUGGGCGUAAAGCGCACGCAGGCGGUCUGUCAAGUCGGAUGUGAAAUCCCCGGGCUCAACCUGGGAACUGCAUUCGAAACUGGCAGGCUAGAGUCUUGUAGAGGGGGGUAGAGUUCCAGGUGUAGCGGUGAAAUGCGUAAAGAUCUGGAGGAAUACCGGUGGCGAAGGCGGCCCCCUGGACAAAGACUGACGCUCAGGUGCGAAAGCGUGGGGAGCAAACAGGAUUAGAUACCCUAGUAGUC